This 122-nucleotide unclassified non-coding RNA is filed under the name Vibrio crassostreae. RNAcentral describes it as "yybP-ykoY". The record is from RNAcentral. Lineage: Bacteria; Pseudomonadati; Pseudomonadota; Gammaproteobacteria; Vibrionales; Vibrionaceae. RNAcentral also lists the same sequence under 8 other names.
AUCCACGCGUUUGGGGAGUAGUUAGCGCAAGUUUACAUAUCGUCAUCUCGUUAGGCCAAGAGUCUAUCCGGUAUGUAAAGGUGAAAUCCCAUAUUUCACUUCAACGAGACCAACGCAAUCAC